RNAcentral lists this non-coding RNA (32 nucleotides) under Mus musculus (house mouse). Lineage: Eukaryota; Metazoa; Chordata; Mammalia; Rodentia; Muridae. The record is from RNAcentral.
UGAGCCACAUUCAACAAGAAAUAGCACAAAGG